AAAAACAUGUCUUUUUGGUUAUUUAAUAUAAAGUCUAGCCUGCCCACUGAAUUUAAUUUUGAAGGGCCGCAGUAUUUUGACUGUGCAAAGGUAGCAUAAUCAUUAGUCUUUUAAUUGGAGGCUGGUAUGAAUGGUUGGAUGAGGUACAAGCUGUGUCAUAAAAAUUAAUAUUUGAAUUUAACUUUUUAGUCAAAAGGCUAAAAUUAAAUUAAAAGACGAGAAGACCCUAUAGAGCUUUAUAUAAUAAUUAUUUAAUUUAUUAAGAUUUAUUAAAUUUAAUUAUUUGAUUAUAUUUUGUUGGGGUGACAGUAAAAUUAAAAAAACUUUUAUUAUUAAUUUACAUUUAUUUAUGGUUAAAUGAUCCAGUUUUAUUGAUUAUAAAUUUAAGUUACCUUAGGGAUAACAGCGUAAUUUUUUUUGAGAGUUCUUAUCGACAAAAAAGAUUGCGACCUCGAUGUUGGAUUAAGAGUAAUUUUGGG
RNAcentral lists this ribosomal RNA (479 nucleotides) under Simulium lutzianum. RNAcentral's name for it is "partial 16S ribosomal RNA". It matches the Rfam family "Bacterial large subunit ribosomal RNA", at positions 1809 to 2551 of the family's 2925-position model. Lineage: Eukaryota; Metazoa; Arthropoda; Insecta; Diptera; Simuliidae. The record is from RNAcentral.